This 490-nucleotide ribosomal RNA is filed under the name uncultured bacterium. RNAcentral's name for it is "partial 16S ribosomal RNA". It matches the Rfam family "Bacterial small subunit ribosomal RNA", at positions 29 to 505 of the family's 1533-position model. The record is from RNAcentral.
AGUGAACGCUGGCGGUAGGCCUAACACAUGCAAGUCGAACGGCAGCACAGUAAGAGCUUGCUCUUACGGGUGGCGAGUGGCGGACGGGUGAGGAAUACAUCGGAAUCUACUUUUUCGUGGGGGAUAACGUAGGGAAACUUACGCUAAUACCGCAUACGACCUACGGGUGAAAGCAGGGGAUCUUCGGACCUUGCGCGAUUGAAUGAGCCGAUGUCGGAUUAGCUAGUUGGCGGGGUAAAGGCCCACCAAGGCGACGAUCCGUAGCUGGUCUGAGAGGAUGAUCAGCCACACUGGAACUGAGACACGGUCCAGACUCCUACGGGAGGCAGCAGUGGGGAAUAUUGGACAAUGGGCGAAAGCCUGAUCCAGCCAUACCGCGUGGGUGAAGAAGGCCUUCGGGUUGUAAAGCCCUUUUGUUGGGAAAGAAAAGCAGCAGGUUAAUACCCCGCUGUUCUGACGGGACCCAAAGAAUAAGCACCGGCUAACUUCG